GAACGGGUGAGUAACACGUGGGCAAUCUGCCCUUCACUCUGGGACAAGCCCUGGAAACGGGGUCUAAUACCGGAUACGACACGGGGUCGCAUGACCUCCGUGUGGAAAGCUCCGGCGGUGAAGGAUGAGCCCGCGGCCUAUCAGCUUGUUGGUGGGGUGAUGGCCUACCAAGGCGACGACGGGUAGCCGGCCUGAGAGGGCGACCGGCCACACUGGGACUGAGACACGGCCCAGACUCCUACGGGAGGCAGCAGUGGGGAAUAUUGCACAAUGGGCGAAAGCCUGAUGCAGCGACGCCGCGUGAGGGAUGACGGCCUUCGGGUUGUAAACCUCUUUCAGCAGGGAAGAAGCGAAAGUGACGGUACCUGCAGAAGAAGCGCCGGCUAACUACGUGCCAGCAGCCGCGGUAAUACGUAGGGCGCAAGCGUUGUCCGGAAUUAUUGGGCGUAAAGAGCUCGUAGGCGGCUUGUCACGUCGGAUGUGAAAGCCCGGGGCUUAACCCCGGGUCUGCAUUCGAUACGGGCAGGCUAGAGUUCGGUAGGGGAGAUCGGAAUUCCUGGUGUAGCGGUGAAAUGCGCAGAUAUCAGGAGGAACACCGGUGGCGAAGGCGGAUCUCUGGGCCGAUACUGACGCUGA
Molecule: ribosomal RNA, 636 nt
Filed under: Streptomyces sp. 5221_4
Lineage: Bacteria; Bacillati; Actinomycetota; Actinomycetes; Kitasatosporales; Streptomycetaceae
Description: bacterial SSU rRNA
Rfam family: Bacterial small subunit ribosomal RNA
Source: RNAcentral